GAUGAAGAACGUAGCGAAAUGCGAUAAUUAAUGUGAAUUGCAGAAUUCCGUGAAUCAUCGAGUCUUUGAACCCACAUUGCGCCUCAUGGCAUUCCGUGAGGCAUGCCCAUCUCAGCGUUAGAAAAUAUUCUCAAAUUUUAGUUUUGUGCUAAAAUUUGGAUCAUGUCAAGGAAGCUAUUACUAUUAUUGUGAUCGCUCUUUGGAAAUUGAUAGGUCUUUGAGUUGCUACUCAUAGAACGUGAUGAAUCUUUCUUCGUUCUAUUGUAAUUCACUCUGGUAGUCCUAAAACUUGUAUGCCUGUGGCAUAUCUUGUAAUUUGACCUGAGAUUGGGUAGGGAUACCCGCUGAACUUAAGCAUAUCAAUAAGCGGAGGA
This 374-nucleotide unclassified non-coding RNA is filed under the name soil metagenome. RNAcentral's name for it is "partial contains internal transcribed spacer 2 and large subunit ribosomal RNA". The stretch from base 1 to 120 matches the Rfam family "5.8S ribosomal RNA", at positions 35 to 154 of the family's 154-position model. The record is from RNAcentral.